GUGAGGAAUAUUGGGCAAUGGGCGAAAGCCUGACCCAGCCACGCCGCGUGAGUGAUGAAGGCCUUCGGGUUGUAAAGCUCUGUGGGGAGGGAAGAAAAAGCGCAGGAGUAACUGCCUGUGUGUUGACGGUACCUCCUUAGCAAGCACCGGCUAACUCUGUGCCAGCAGCCGCGGUAAUACAGAGGGUGCAAACGUUGCUCGGAAUUACUGGGCGUAAAGCGCGUGUAGGCUGACAUGCAAGUCGGGUGUGAAAUCCCAGGGCUCAACCUUGGAACUGCACUCGAAACUGAACGUCUUGAGUACUGGAGAGGGAAGCGGAAUUCCGGGUGUAGAGGUGAAAUUCGUAGAUAUCCGGAGGAACACCAGUGGCGAAGGCGGCUUCCUGGACAGUAACUGACGCUGAGACGCGAAAGCGUGGGGAGCAAACAGGAUUAGAUACCCUGGUAGUCC
RNAcentral lists this ribosomal RNA (450 nucleotides) under uncultured bacterium. RNAcentral describes it as "bacterial SSU rRNA". It matches the Rfam family "Bacterial small subunit ribosomal RNA", at positions 354 to 796 of the family's 1533-position model. The record is from RNAcentral.